UUGAUAUAUUGUACCUUCACUUUUGUUUGCUAUAAUGUAGAGCUGCAGUGGGAAGGAUGUCUAAUAAAAUAUCAUCAUUUAUCUUCUAAAACAGCAGCGUAGGGUUUCACCUCCCUGAUCUGUUACACUUCUCUUAGUCUUCUGUUAAACAUUUAAAGUACACAAAUGACUUAACUGACACUGCAUUGGUUAAAUAAUUGAAACAUUUCAGCCUGAUCACUUAUUUUCUUCCACUUGAUUGCCUUAAUUUGUUCUGUGUUAGUUGUUUGGGGCAAAGGAUUUUUGUUAAAUUUUUGACACCUGAAAAACAUUGUUGUGCUUCUGUGGUAUUAUUCCAUAAAUCAUAAACGCUUGUCCACUUUCAGAUCUUCGAGUUACAGCUUGGGUGUGUGAUGAAAUCGUGUCCACAAAGCUUGAUAACAGUGUCAUCUCCAGUGUGUAUUCCAGCCAUCCACGCAUCCUUGUACUCUCAUUUUUGGAGUUUGUUGUCUCUGCAGCUGCUAGCAGUCAGCCAUCUUCAGCUCCUACUCUGGCAAGGAAAUGUGCAAGAAAGGCCUGUGUUCGGAGACUGAAAUUCACAGGCUCCGUUUCCUUUUACCAUUGCUGCAAUAUAAUUGUAGCCUGGCAAAGAAUAACCAGCACAGGACACAAAUAUAUUUGUGGGGUUCUUUAUUUUCAGGUGUGCAUGCAUGCAUGGGGUGAAACCUGUCCUGUGUGCAGACAUGUAUGGAAUACGGAGGAGCUACACGGAAUUGCAUUCACAAAGCCUUCUGGUAUUUGA
RNAcentral lists this long non-coding RNA (781 nucleotides) under Lepisosteus oculatus (spotted gar). RNAcentral describes it as "lncRNA (ENSLOCG00000021146.1)". Lineage: Eukaryota; Metazoa; Chordata; Actinopteri; Semionotiformes; Lepisosteidae. The record is from RNAcentral.